Molecule: long non-coding RNA, 357 nt
Filed under: Gossypium raimondii (Peruvian cotton)
Lineage: Eukaryota; Viridiplantae; Streptophyta; Magnoliopsida; Malvales; Malvaceae
Description: long non-coding RNA (GRAI_LNC001453)
Source: RNAcentral
GUUGAGGAAGAAUUGGUGGAGAAAGUCAAGGAGUGAUAAGUGGAGGAUUUUGAGGAGAAAAUCAAGGAAUUUGAUUAAGAGGGGGAAGUUGUGCCGUUUGGGGAGUUUUGAGUGUGUGGAAUUCGGCUAGGGGGAGUUUUGGAGUCAUUUUUGGCUUUUGAGGGACUGUUGGUUUUUAUUUUAUUUUAUUUUUCUCUUUGUCUGCUUCGGUGUGGGAAAGCAUUUUCGUUUUCUCCUUUUCCUUUUAGUGCCAAACCUUGCAAAGACUUCAAAGUAUCUCCCGAGUUUGUUCGUUUUGUUUUUCUACCUUUUCCUUUAUGCCCUUUUUGUUUUGGCCGAAUAGCCUUUGGUUCUUUC